AAGUCGUAACAAGGUUUCCGUAGGUGAACCUGCGGAAGGAUCAUUAAUGAAUUCUGAGUAGGCUCUGCCUCUCACCCUUCAUAUCCAUAAACACCUGUGCACAGUCGGACCCUUGAGUCUUUCGGGACUCCCGGUGUCUUGACGAUCUUAUCAAACAACAAUGUAACCAAUGCAAUCAUUAUUAUAACAUAAUAAAACUUUUAACAACGGAUCUCUUGGCUCUC
This 224-nucleotide unclassified non-coding RNA is filed under the name Goffeauzyma gastrica. RNAcentral's name for it is "partial internal transcribed spacer region". The stretch from base 1 to 46 matches the Rfam family "Eukaryotic small subunit ribosomal RNA", at positions 1786 to 1831 of the family's 1831-position model. Lineage: Eukaryota; Fungi; Basidiomycota; Tremellomycetes; Filobasidiales; Filobasidiaceae. The record is from RNAcentral.